AUCAGCAAAGACUCAAAUAUAUAUCAUAGAUAAUCUGAUCACAAAUCCACAAUUCAUCGGAUAUCGACAAACAAACCGCCAAAGAAGAUUACAUCAGAUAGAUCUCCAUGAAGAUCAUGGAGAACUUUGUAUUGAAGAUCCAAGAGAGAGAAGAAGCCAUCUAGCUACUAACUACGGACCCGUAGGUCUGAAGUGAACUACUCACGAGUCAUUGGAGGGG
This 220-nucleotide long non-coding RNA is filed under the name Hordeum vulgare. RNAcentral's name for it is "long non-coding RNA (HVUL_LNC010874)". Lineage: Eukaryota; Viridiplantae; Streptophyta; Magnoliopsida; Poales; Poaceae. The record is from RNAcentral.